Molecule: long non-coding RNA, 527 nt
Organism: Syngnathus acus (greater pipefish)
Lineage: Eukaryota; Metazoa; Chordata; Actinopteri; Syngnathiformes; Syngnathidae
Exons: 2
Source: RefSeq, a predicted model, not a curated record
CCGGGGACCUUCCGCGCGGACGCCCCUUCGGAGCCGGUCUCCCCUUCAAGAUUGUCAUCAAGUGCGGCGGGAUGGGCACGUUCCACCUGGACUUCAACGACGAGCUCCAGCUGGACUUCGCAGGUCCUCAACUUGAUAUCGGGAGCAUCAACUGGUUGGAGGUGUGGCAAGUGAUGCUGAGCAGCGUCCAACUGAUGUGAUGACGCGGCCGUGUGACGCCGCUUCCUGUCAGGGCGUCAGCAUGCCGACGGCAAGCAGCUCCAUUCUAAUGGUUUCUUUUCGAGCUCGGUUGCCACCACUUGUUUCCUUUUCAAACUAGAUGUGUAAAAUAAUCCCACGGUACUAAAUUUUCACAGCAAGCGCCUGCUUGCCUGCUCGUGUGGAAAAUCGAGUGCCAGUCGUAAGAAGACACUUAAAUUGAAAACAAAGGUUCUGAUACGUUUUUUUCGGAAUCGUAUAUAAAUGUCACUUUAUUCAACUGAUGUACACGUGUUUGAAGCAAAAUAAAGGCGUUGUCUUUCUCAUGA